This 90-nucleotide transfer RNA is filed under the name Bacteroidota bacterium. RNAcentral describes it as "Bacteroidetes bacterium tRNA-Leu". It matches the Rfam family "tRNA". From Rfam's summary of the family: Transfer RNA (tRNA) molecules are approximately 80 nucleotides in length. Their secondary structure includes four short double-helical elements and three loops (D, anti-codon, and T loops). The record is from RNAcentral. RNAcentral also lists the same sequence under 1 other name. Lineage: Bacteria; Pseudomonadati; Bacteroidota.
GCCGGGGUGGCGGAAUUUGGUAGACGCAAGGGACUUAAAAUCCCUCGGAGACUUGUCUCCGUGCCGGUUCGAGUCCGGCCCUCGGCACCA